RNAcentral lists this ribosomal RNA (459 nucleotides) under uncultured bacterium. RNAcentral describes it as "partial 16S ribosomal RNA". It matches the Rfam family "Bacterial small subunit ribosomal RNA", at positions 338 to 795 of the family's 1533-position model. The record is from RNAcentral.
CCUACGGGAGGCUGCAGUGAGGAAUAUUGGUCAAUGGGAGAGAUCCUGAACCAGCCAAGCCGCGUGAGGGAAGAAGGCUCUAUGGGUUGUAAACCUCUUUUGUCGGAGAACAAAACCCGGGACGCGUCCCGGACUGCGUGUAUCCGAAGAAAAAGCAUCGGCUAACUCCGUGCCAGCAGCCGCGGUAAUACGGAGGAUGCGAGCGUUAUCCGGCUUUAUUGGGUUUAAAGGGUGCGUGGGCGGUCCGUUAAGUCAGCGGUAAAAGUGCGGGGCUAAACCCCGUCGGGCCGUUGAAAGUGGCAGACUUGAGUAGGCGAGAGGGAGGCGGAAUGCGCGGUGUAGCGGUGAAAUGCAUAGAUAUCGCGCAGAACUCCGAUGGCGAAGGCAGCGUACCGGCGCCAGACUGACGCUGAGGCACGAAAGCGUGGGGAUCGAACAGGAUUAGAUACCCCUGUAGUC